Molecule: ribosomal RNA, 117 nt
Filed under: Amanita pruittii
Lineage: Eukaryota; Fungi; Basidiomycota; Agaricomycetes; Agaricales; Amanitaceae
Description: partial 28S ribosomal RNA
Rfam family: Eukaryotic large subunit ribosomal RNA
Source: RNAcentral
UUGACCUCAAAUCAGGUAGGACUACCCGCUGAACUUAAGCAUAUCAAUAAGCGGAGGAAAAGAAACUAACAAGGAUUCCCCUAGUAACUGCGAGUGAAGCGGGAAAAGCUCAAAUUU